This is a non-coding RNA of Schizosaccharomyces pombe (fission yeast), 724 nucleotides long. NCBI's taxonomy places the organism in Eukaryota, Fungi, Ascomycota, Schizosaccharomycetes, Schizosaccharomycetales, Schizosaccharomycetaceae. The record is from the annotation of a GenBank genome assembly.
AAAACAAAAACCUUUAAAAAUAAUGUACCGCCGGUAGAGAUGAUUAUUAACGCCAUAAAUGUUGGUGCAGGAAGGGAAUAAAACAGGUUCAAUGGAAUAUCGAUAAUCCUAAAAAAACUUGUGAAAAAAUCUAAGUUAAAUCUAAUCACUAUCCAAAAAUUUAUUGGCAGAAGCACCCAGAUACAGGCGUAGAGUGUUAGGGGAGCAAUUUACCAAUUUGCAGCGAACCUUUUUGCGCCCUGCUUCAUCGUGAGCACGUAGUCGAUGACAGCCCCCAAAGGCAAAAUAAUAAGGCUUCCCACUCUUUUUAAACGUUAAAACAUCAACAGGAGGAAGCUCACCAGCUUCCAAAUCUUCUGAAGUCAAACCGCAUGAAGCUGGAGGAGUUUUCCCUGUCAUGGUUUCCAUCAUACUAUUGACUUUGUUCAUAUCUAAAACAGGAGGUAUAGGACGAAUUAACUCAGACAUAUCAAGCUCAACAAUGUUGUUAUUUGAGCCAGUGUGAAUCGAAGUCAUGAUGGUUAAAAAUGAAUGAAAGAAAGAAUAUAAAAAAGAUAAAGUGAACAGAAAUUUUUAUAAAUAGAACAGAAAAUUAUAAAAAAAGGCAAGUUAAUAAGAAUGGAAAAGUGGAUAUUGAUAUCGAGUAUAUUUACUCCUUGAUCUGAUAUCGUUUCCUGUUGUACUAAUGAUCUGCCCCACAACCUAUCUUAUCCCGGUAUGUAUA